This 253-nucleotide ribosomal RNA is filed under the name uncultured bacterium. RNAcentral describes it as "partial 16S ribosomal RNA". It matches the Rfam family "Bacterial small subunit ribosomal RNA", at positions 524 to 776 of the family's 1533-position model. The record is from RNAcentral. RNAcentral also lists the same sequence under 1 other name.
UACGAAGGGGGCGAGCGUUGUUCGGAGUUACUGGGCGUAAAGGGCGCGUAGGCGGCGAUCCAAGUUAGGCGUGAAAGCCCCGGGCUUAACCUGGGAAUUGCGCUUAAGACUGGACUGCUUGAGUGCGGGAGAGGUGAGUGGAAUUCCCAGUGUAGAGGUGAAAUUCGUAGAUAUUGGGAAGAACACCAGUGGCGAAGGCGGCUCACUGGCCCGCAACUGACGCUGAGGCGCGAAAGCGUGGGGAGCAAACAGG